Molecule: unclassified non-coding RNA, 250 nt
Filed under: plant metagenome
Description: partial contains small subunit ribosomal RNA, internal transcribed spacer 1, and 5.8S ribosomal RNA
Source: RNAcentral
GUAGGUGAACCUGCGGAAGGAUCAUUACAAAUCCAUCCACGUCUCAUAUCCUGAGACCACGUUGAAAUGUUCCCCAGAGCCUCUGGCCCCUCUGCUGUUGCCGCUUGCCCCUUCACCGGGGAGGGCGCGCCUGCCUUGGGAUCAUGCUCCGGGCUGUUAAACUAGUUUUCUCUGUUGCUCAAAUGUAUCUUGAUUUUCAAUCAAACGAAAACUUGUACAACUUAUAACAAUGGAUCUCUAGGCUCUUGCA